GCGUCCUUCUGGGUCGGUGCGGGCGAGCACAUUGAGAACAGACUGGAUGGAAAAAGGGGUCCUGCGUCGCGCCCUUUAACGUCCCCCCCCCUCCCGGGCCGCACCAAUAUAACCAGGGAGCUGCUAAAGUGCAUUUUUCCCAGCGAGGGAGCAGCUCUUCUGCACGCCGCAAUGGAUUGCUUCCUCAUCCUCCUCUUCUGUCCUCCAUCGAUUUGAGCAGCGACGUGUCCUGGAGGCACGUGAGGCGCUGUGUGCGUCCAUCUGCACGGGAUGCAGAACAACUCUCCAUCAGCAAGGACUCAAACACGCACGCGGUCUCUGCCCCUGUUAUUGUUAUUCCCCCUGAAUCUCAUCUCCUCCUACAAUAAAUGUACAUACAGCUUGCAAUAUCUCUUAGGCGGUAAUUUCUCUGCACCAUAAAAUGAGUCAUUUGUCUCCUCUUUAUUUUUCCGUCUCUCAGCCAGCGAGGGAGGAGGCGCGCCGCCGCUGAGAUUAAAACCUGAUGGAGGGUGUCUGAGCGAUGUGUGGAGGAAGGCUUUGAGAUGAGCUGAGGACACACACAGCGAGACUACAGCGAGACAUUUAACUUCGUCAGAGCGUAUCUGGACCUUUUGGCGACCUGGAGACGUUUUGGAAAAAGUAGGUGCAAAUGUUUUACCAUUCAGCUGUUUUGUAAUUGACUCCAAAGUUCCUUAAAAUACUUAAUUUACAGCCUCUACAGUUCAACGGGAGGAUUCAGGACUCCCACAUUCAUCAAGCGCAGCCGAAGGGAGCGCGGACGUUCAGCUCGAGACGUUCCUGAAAUAUGAGCUGUUAAGGUCAACGAAGAUCUGGAAGGAACUUUUUACAACGAUUUCAGGAGCCGUGGGGCUCUUUUUUUUUGUGUGUUGAAUUUUUUUUUUGUGGGGGGGGG
This is a long non-coding RNA of Gasterosteus aculeatus aculeatus (three-spined stickleback), 913 nucleotides long. Lineage: Eukaryota; Metazoa; Chordata; Actinopteri; Perciformes; Gasterosteidae. The record is from Ensembl.